UAGGGAAUCUUCCACAAUGGACGAAAGUCUGAUGGAGCAACGCCGCGUGAGUGAAGAAGGUCUUCGGAUCGUAAAGCUCUGUUGUUGGUGAAGAAGGAUAGAGGCAGUAACUGGUCUUUAUUUGACGGUAAUCAACCAGAAAGUCACGGCUAACUACGUGCCUG
Molecule: ribosomal RNA, 164 nt
Filed under: uncultured bacterium
Lineage: Bacteria
Description: partial 16S rRNA
Rfam family: Bacterial small subunit ribosomal RNA
Source: RNAcentral